GGCUACGGAGAACUCACCUCUGUGCCGGUUGCUUUCCGUCGGUCUCCAUGUCCGUGGUGAUUGGAUGGAUUCUUGUCGAGCUUCCUUGGCUUGAGCUGAAGACGAGAAAUUUCAGCAGAGAAUACAACAGAACUCUUGAAUCUCACCUCAAACUGACUUCCCGAGAAGAUGCAGAGAGUGGAAGGACCUGGAUCUUCCUUCUUGGAGCUACAAUCUCCGGUGUAGAGAUGGGUGCUUCUGGAGGAAACGUAAGCUGAUGACUGCUCUUGCUUGGGCCUACUGUCAUUGGAACUGUCAAGCUCAUCUUAUAAGGCUUUUAAGCUAUCCUGCAAAAAUUGGCACCAGACAUUGAAACUAUGCUUGAUGGUAGAUUGGCCCUGGAAUUGCCCUGUUAGCAAAUUUGAUUAGCACUCUAUUCUUUUACAGAAAGCAGGCGACCUUUUGGGCAAGGUGCAUAAGGAAGUGUGUGAAGGAGCCAUGUUUCUUGUGACAGCGAUGGACGAACCUCAAAGCGUAAAAAGUCGUGAAACAUUUCUUGUGCAACGUAAGUGUUCAUUUCGUGAUGCCACCAGUUUACUUGUGCAAUUAAAGAUCGCCAGGUUGUAAUCUAUUGCUAACACUUCAGCCGUGUGUUUAACCAAUCGAGCGUCGGUGUUUGAAGGCUGGUGGGUGCAGACCAAAUUCCUGAAUUCGUGGCUUUUGUUCAUUUCGAGGAUGAGCUAAAGAGAUCAUGGUAU
Rhodamnia argentea is the source of this 737-nucleotide long non-coding RNA. RefSeq lists it as uncharacterized. The record is from RefSeq and is a predicted model, not a curated record. The transcript has 3 exons. Lineage: Eukaryota; Viridiplantae; Streptophyta; Magnoliopsida; Myrtales; Myrtaceae.